This 2928-nucleotide ribosomal RNA is filed under the name Cronobacter sakazakii. RNAcentral describes it as "bacterial LSU rRNA". It matches the Rfam family "Bacterial large subunit ribosomal RNA". The record is from RNAcentral. Lineage: Bacteria; Pseudomonadati; Pseudomonadota; Gammaproteobacteria; Enterobacterales; Enterobacteriaceae.
GGGUUGUGAGGUUAAGCGAACAAGCGUACACGGUGGAUGCCCUGGCAGUCAGAGGCGAUGAAGGACGUGCUAAUCUGCGAAAAGCGCCGGUAAGGUGAUAUGAACCGUUAUAACCGGCGAUGUCCGAAUGGGGAAACCCGGUGCACUUCGGUGCAUCAUCGUUAGCUGAAUACAUAGGCUAACGAGGCGAACCGGGGGAACUGAAACAUCUAAGUACCCCGAGGAAAAGAAAUCAACCGAGAUUCCCCCAGUAGCGGCGAGCGAACGGGGAACAGCCCAGAGCCUGAAUCAGCUUGUGUGUCAGUGGAACGGUCUGGAAAGGCCGGCGAUACAGGGUGACAGCCCCGUACACGAAGGCACACAGGCUGUGAGCUCGAUGAGUAGGGCGGGACACGUGAUAUCCUGUCUGAAGAUGGGGGGACCAUCCUCCAAGGCUAAAUACUCCUGACUGACCGAUAGUGAACCAGUACCGUGAGGGAAAGGCGAAAAGAACCCCGGCGAGGGGAGUGAAACAGAACCUGAAACCGUGUACGUACAAGCAGUGGGAGCCUUCGUAAGAGGGUGACUGCGUACCUUUUGUAUAAUGGGUCAGCGACUUAUAUUCUGUAGCAAGGUUAACCGUAUAGGGGAGCCGAAGGGAAACCGAGUCUUAACCGGGCGUUAAGUUGCAGGGUAUAGACCCGAAACCCGGUGAUCUAGCCAUGGGCAGGUUGAAGGUUGGGUAACACUAACUGGAGGACCGAACCGACUAAUGUUGAAAAAUUAGCGGAUGACCUGUGGCUGGGGGUGAAAGGCCAAUCAAACCGGGAGAUAGCUGGUUCUCCCCGAAAGCUAUUUAGGUAGCGCCUCGUGAACUCAUCUCCGGGGGUAGAGCACUGUUUCGGCUAGGGGGCCAUCCCGGCUUACCAACCCGAUGCAAACUGCGAAUACCGGAGAAUGUUAUCACGGGAGACACACGGCGGGUGCUAACGUCCGUCGUGAAGAGGGAAACAACCCAGACCGCCAGCUAAGGUCCCAAAGUCAUGGUUAAGUGGGAAACGAUGUGGGAAGGCCCAGACAGCCAGGAUGUUGGCUUAGAAGCAGCCAUCAUUUAAAGAAAGCGUAAUAGCUCACUGGUCGAGUCGGCCUGCGCGGAAGAUGUAACGGGGCUAAACCAUGCACCGAAGCUGCGGCAGCGACGCUUAUGCGUUGUUGGGUAGGGGAGCGUUCUGUAAGCCUGCGAAGGUGUGCUGUGAGGCAUGCUGGAGGUAUCAGAAGUGCGAAUGCUGACAUAAGUAACGAUAAAGCGGGUGAAAAGCCCGCUCGCCGGAAGACCAAGGGUUCCUGUCCAACGUUAAUCGGGGCAGGGUGAGUCGACCCCUAAGGCGAGGCCGAAAGGCGUAGUCGAUGGGAAACAGGUUAAUAUUCCUGUACUUGGUGUUACUGCGAAGGGGGGACGGAGAAGGCUAUGUCGGCCGGGCGACGGUUGUCCCGGUUUAAGCGUGUAGGCUGACUUUCCAGGCAAAUCCGGAAGGUUAAGGCUGAGGCGUGAUGACGAGGCACUACGGUGCUGAAGUGACAAAUGCCCUGCUUCCAGGAAAAGCCUCUAAGCAUCAGGUAACAUCAAAUCGUACCCCAAACCGACACAGGUGGUCAGGUAGAGAAUACCAAGGCGCUUGAGAGAACUCGGGUGAAGGAACUAGGCAAAAUGGUGCCGUAACUUCGGGAGAAGGCACGCUGACAUGUAGGUGAAGCCCCUGCGGGUGGAGCUGAAGUCAGUCGAAGAUACCAGCUGGCUGCAACUGUUUAUUAAAAACACAGCACUGUGCAAACACGAAAGUGGACGUAUACGGUGUGACGCCUGCCCGGUGCCGGAAGGUUAAUUGAUGGGGUUAUCGCAAGAGAAGCUCCUGAUCGAAGCCCCGGUAAACGGCGGCCGUAACUAUAACGGUCCUAAGGUAGCGAAAUUCCUUGUCGGGUAAGUUCCGACCUGCACGAAUGGCGUAAUGAUGGCCAGGCUGUCUCCACCCGAGACUCAGUGAAAUUGAACUCGCUGUGAAGAUGCAGUGUACCCGCGGCAAGACGGAAAGACCCCGUGAACCUUUACUACAGCUUGACACUGAACAUUGAGCCUUGAUGUGUAGGAUAGGUGGGAGGCUUUGAAGCGUGGACGCCAGUCUGCGUGGAGCCGACCUUGAAAUACCACCCUUUAAUGUUUGAUGUUCUAACCUGGCGCCAUAAUCUGGCGUGGGGACAGUGUCUGGUGGGUAGUUUGACUGGGGCGGUCUCCUCCCAAAGUGUAACGGAGGAGCACGAAGGUCAGCUAAUCCUGGUCGGACAUCAGGAGGUUAGUGCAAUGGCAUAAGCUGGCUUGACUGCGAGAGUGACGGCUCGAGCAGGUGCGAAAGCAGGUCAUAGUGAUCCGGUGGUUCUGUAUGGAAGGGCCAUCGCUCAACGGAUAAAAGGUACUCCGGGGAUAACAGGCUGAUACCGCCCAAGAGUUCAUAUCGACGGCGGUGUUUGGCACCUCGAUGUCGGCUCAUCACAUCCUGGGGCUGAAGUAGGUCCCAAGGGUAUGGCUGUUCGCCAUUUAAAGUGGUACGCGAGCUGGGUUUAGAACGUCGUGAGACAGUUCGGUCCCUAUCUGCCGUGGGCGCUGGAGAAUUGAGGGGGGCUGCUCCCAGUACGAGAGGACCGGAGUGGACGCAUCACUGGUGUUCGGGUUGUCAUGCCAAUGGCACUGCCCGGUAGCUAAAUGCGGAAGAGAUAAGUGCUGAAAGCAUCUAAGCACGAAACUUGCCCCGAGAUGAGUUCUCCCUGACUCCUUGAGAGUCCUGAAGGAACGUUGAAGACGACGACGUUGAUAGGCCGGGUGUGUAAGCGCAGCGAUGCGUUGAGCUAACCGGUACUAAUGAACCGUGAGGCUUAACCUUACAACGCCAAAGAAGU